AGAGUUUGAUCAUGGCUCAGGAUGAACGCUAGCGGCAGGCUUAACACAUGCAAGUCGAGGGGUAUAGGUUUUCGGACCUAGAGACCGGCGCACGGGUGCGUAACGCGUAUGCAAUCUACCUUUCACAGAGGGAUAGCCCAGAGAAAUUUGGAUUAAUACCUCAUAGUAUAACGACUCGGCAUCGAGAUGUUAUUAAAGUCACAACGGUGAAAGAUGAGCAUGCGUCCCAUUAGCUAGUUGGUAAGGUAACGGCUUACCAAGGCUACGAUGGGUAGGGGUCCUGAGAGGGAGAUCCCCCACACUGGUACUGAGACACGGACCAGACUCCUACGGGAGGCAGCAGUGAGGAAUAUUGGUCAAUGGACGCAAGUCUGAACCAGCCAUGCCGCGUGCAGGAUGACGGUCCUAUGGAUUGUAAACUGCUUUUGUACAGGAAGAAACAGUUCUACGUGUAGAACCUUGACGGUACUGUAAGAAUAAGGAUCGGCUAACUCCGUGCCAGCAGCCGCGGUAAUACGGAGGAUCCAAGCGUUAUCCGGAAUCAUUGGGUUUAAAGGGUCCGUAGGCGGUUUGGUAAGUCAGUGGUGAAAGCCCAUCGCUCAACGGUGGAACGGCCAUUGAUACUGCUAAACUUGAAUUAUUAGGAAGUAACUAGAAUAUGUAGUGUAGCGGUGAAAUGCUUAGAGAUUACAUGGAAUACCAAUUGCGAAGGCAGGUUACUACUAAUGGAUUGACGCUGAUGGACGAAAGCGUGGGUAGCGAACAGGAUUAGAUACCCUAGUAGUCC
Molecule: ribosomal RNA, 787 nt
Filed under: uncultured bacterium
Lineage: Bacteria
Description: bacterial SSU rRNA
Rfam family: Bacterial small subunit ribosomal RNA
Source: RNAcentral